Molecule: long non-coding RNA, 853 nt
Filed under: Marmota monax (woodchuck)
Lineage: Eukaryota; Metazoa; Chordata; Mammalia; Rodentia; Sciuridae
Source: RNAcentral
GGCAGGGACCAGUUUUGUGUUAUAGACCUCAUAAAAGACUCCCUUGCUCUUGGUGUCUCUGAAAAGCUGUUAAAGCUGGUACAUGAACAACAUCUGGUAUAAGAAACCCAGAUCACAGAGAGUUUCCAAGAUGAGCUUUCUCAUCAUGGCAGUGUGUUGAAGCAGUGACUGACAUUUCUUGCAGGGUGACAGCAAAAGCUGUUUGAGCAGAUGAAGUGAUGCUAUCAGGAAUUUGAAAGCAAAGUUGGCUGUGGAUAAAUAAGUGGACAACAGUCUGUGGCUCGAGAACCUAGAUAACUGACUGCAUUUUGUCCUGAGAUGGACAAGAGGAGCAAGAAUAUUCUUUCUUCCACACAUAAGUAAACUACUUAUUUACCGUUUUUGAAAAAUUAGCCCAAAUCAGAAGUCAUAAUUCAACUUUUUAUAUAGACACAUUGGGAAAUGUUAUUUGUUUUUACUAGCAAAGUAACAAGUGAAGGAACUUCAAGAAUUUAUUGCUUUGCUGUACAAUGAUGCUUUGGAUAUAGGAAAGUGAAUGAUACCUUCUUUUGUGUAGGAUAAAUAUUCUACCUGUACAUUGUAGGCAAAAUGCAGAAACCUGUGUCAAUAACAUGUGAUAUAAACAGACGUCUGUUCUCUCCAUGUUCCUUAGUUUUGCAAAGUGAACUCUUUUUGGCUCAUUAAAAUUUUGAGGAAUUAUCUUUUAGUUGGUUCUUUAGUGCCACUCUGAAACUUUAUGUUCAUUUCUUUCAACUGUCAUCAAAUGUUUCAGUGCCUACUGUGUGUUAGGAUCUGUUUAAGAAACUUAAGAAAAUCCAGACUCUGAGAAGUUAUCUGUAAAAGUGCUUCCUCC